This 10866-nucleotide ribosomal RNA is filed under the name Triticum aestivum (bread wheat). RNAcentral describes it as "partial small subunit ribosomal RNA". Lineage: Eukaryota; Viridiplantae; Streptophyta; Magnoliopsida; Poales; Poaceae. The record is from RNAcentral.
UCCUACGCCGUGCGGCGCGCCGCCGUGGCGGCCUACGCGGCGCUCAGCGCGGUGCUGUGCGCGCACGAGGCGCCCGGGGGCCUCCCUGACGGGUUCGUCGCCUGGGCGCUGCCGCUCCUGGGGGAGCCCGCCUCGGCCGCCCUCGUCGCCGAGGGGCUCAGGGAGCUCCUGGCCACCGGGGAUGCGCACGCCGUCGAGCGUUUCGUGCCACCACUCCUCGCCGCCUGCCGUGACGUGCUCGAGGAUGAGCGGACCUCGCUCGCUGUGCUCAGGUGCCUGCUCGGCCUGCUCACGCUCGUCGCCGCCAAGUUCCCCCACUGCUUCCGGCCGCAAUUCGUCGAUAUGGUUGACUUGCUCCUUGGGUGGGUGUUCGUCCCAGACCUUGCCGAAACCGAUUGCCGCACCAUCGUGGAUAGUUUCUCGCAGUUCCAGUGGCACUGGCUCGGUAAUCUGCAGUUCUCCCUUGGACUGUUGCCCAAGUUCUUGGCUGAUAUGGAGGUCCUUGUGCAUGAUCCCAACCUUGCGGCCAGCCAUAACUCUGGCCGGCUUCGUCCGCUCUUUGCUUGCUUCUCGACGGUGUUGCAGAUCAUGGCAUCUGGUGUGGCAGAGAGAAAUAAUCUGAGAGAACUUGUAGUAGGGCCACUUGAGGCGUUGGCUCCUCAGCUUUUAAGGUGUGCAUCAGUGAUAGCUUCCAAGAUUGGCUGGUCUGAGAGGAUGGAAGAAGCAUCCAGAUGUUUGGUCUUGCUCGCAGAGAUUCUGCAGGAAAGGUUCGCUGAGUUCUGUGCUAUGUUUGUGGAUGUGUUGACACAGAGUUUGGAUAAUGCGUCGUCACAACAGUUGGUGGUAGCACUUAAGACUAACCUGCAAGUGUUGUCACUUCAAAAUUUGGGGCUCCAUUCGGCUGCUGUGGAGCACUUGCUUGAAUUCAGCUCACUUUUAUCUCGGCUGCGUCUUCACCCAAGCCACAACGUGGUUGUAAAUUCAGCAUCCACUUAUCUUUUUUGUCUGCAGCAUGGAUUGGAAGAUGUAGCUGAGCAAGCAAUUGCAUCAUUGAUGAAAGAGUUGGAACUAUUGAAAUUUCUGCUUGAGAACAUGCAAGUAAGCUGCACUGGUAUCCAGAGUCACUCCUUAGAGAACAACACUCCAGUAGGGUAUUCAGAGCAUCAGUUGCUUUCUUUAAUGAAAUUCGAUUUGAAGAUUCUACUGGCCACUGUUUCAGCUGAUUCUGAAAAGAUCAACAGGAGAGUACCUAGGCUGACAUCAUUCAUUUCAGAGAAGCUUGACCCAUUUGGCACCCCGUUUCAUAAUUUCCUUGAGAUGCAGUUUCAGAUUUUCUCUACACUUCACAGACUGAGCAGUGUGGAACUGUCAAUUAAUAUUGAAACAUCUGAAGAAUUUGAAAGAGGCUCUGGUGAUUCAGGCAGUCAAACUCAGAUAAAUACUGAAUCAAGGAAGUCUUUUUGUGACUGUAAAAUGAAGUUCAUGCAUAAAUAUGGAAAACACAUAAUGCGUGGCCUUAGUGCAUCAUCAUCCAUGACACUGAAAUUAGACGCUUUAGAUUGGAUAGAUUCUUUCGCGAAACUGGUUCUUGCCAUGGAAAGGGAUCUGAACAAGACCAGUCUCUCUUAUGAGUUUGGGGAUGCUACCCUUCCGAAUACUAUUCUCUUCACUAUCUUGGAUUGCGCUUAUGAUAGGGAGACUAAAGUAAGAUGCCAUGUUGCGUUAUCCUUGGAAGCACUCUUUCUUGGUAGGCUCAUCAAUCCCAUGAGCUUCUCAGUUGUCUCACAGGUUCUUCUUGACAAGCUCAGUGAUCCAGACAAUGCUGUAAAAAAUGGAUUUCUGAGGUUAUUUUCAAUUGCUUUGCCUAUUACAACAUACACAUUUGGCUUCCUUGAGGAUGGAUAUAGUUAUCAGAAUUGCCUAGGUAUUUCUAACAUUACCAAGCACUGCAUGAGUUUGAGGCAUGUGCUUGCUGUGAAACAACAGCCUAGGAAACUUCACUGGCAGCAGCUUGUUUCUAUUCUGAGUUACCUUUCCCUCAGAUUGAAGUUGCCUCUUUCUUCUUGGGUUCAACGACUGGUCUUUAGUUACCGUGGCAAGAAAGAUAUGUUUUCUGGUCAAAUUGAUGUCUCUGGAGAUACUGAUUGGAAUGAAUUAUUCAAAGGGCCCGAUGUGGACAUAACUAUUAUUGACAGGAUAUAUUCAGUGAACAAUCUUGCUGCAGUUUGGUGGGGCAUCCAUGAAGCUGCUCGGCACUGCAUAAACCUUCGGCUUCGAACUCAUCUCGGUGGCCCCACACAGACAUUUGCUGCUUUAGAACGCAUGCUUUUGGAUGUACCAAAUUUAUUGGCACUGGAAACUAACGAAGGUGAAGGCAGGUAUAUAGGACCAUCUGACAUAUCCCUAUUGCCUAUGCGCCUGCUAUUGGAUUUUGUUGAGGCAUUAAAGAAAUAUGUUUAUAAUGCGUAUGAAGGUUCCUUUGUUCUACCAGCCCCUCCAAAGGCAAGUUCCUUGUUUUUCCGAGCGAACAAACGAGUCUGUGAAGAGUGGUUUUCUCGAAUCUGUGAUCCAAUGCUGAAGGCAGGACUAGCUUUGCAGUGCAGCGAUGCAGUCAUUCAGUACUGCUCAUCUCGGUUACUAGAUCUCAGAAACAUUGCUGCAUCAUCCCUCAAGGACAACAGCCGCAUGGGAGGAGCUACUGAAAGUAAUCAUGCUUUUAGAGAGAGGUUAGAAAUGGAUAUUCUGAAGGUUUUGCGACAUGCUUCUCUGGCAUUGUGCAGGUGUCAUGAAACAGAUGCCUUAGUUGGACUCCAGAGGUGGGCUGUGUCAACAUUCUACACAUACUUUGAGCAGGAAAAGCAACUAACACGGGGUGCAUCUGAUACCCACAAGCACUUUUCCUGGAUGUCAGGACUCAUCUAUCAAUCCCAGGGGCAGUAUGAAAAGGCUGCUGCACAUUAUUCUCAUCUCUUGCAGUCUGAGGAAGCCCUUACCUCCAUGGAUUCUGAUGUCAUCCAGUACAUCAUAGCACGUGUUAUUGAGUGCUACACAGCUCUGUCUGACUGGAAAUGCUUGGAGGGUUGGCUUGCAGAGUUACAAGAGCUCCGUGCUGUACAUGCUGGCAAACCUUAUUCAGGUGCUUUAACGAGUGCUGGCAAUGAGCUUAAUGCUAUUCAUGCAAUGGCAUGCUUUGAUGAGGGUGACUUCCAUUCAGCUUGGAGUUAUCUUGAUUUGACUCCUAAAAGCAGCAGCGAGCUUACCCUUGAUCCCAAGGUUGCAGUUGAGAGAAGUGAAUUAAUGCUCCUGCGUGGAAUGCUUCAAUCUGACAGCAAGCCUGACAAGGCAAGAGAGGAUCUUGAUAAGGCUAAAUUGAUGUUGGAUGAAGCACUCUCUGUGGCCCCUCUCAAUGGAUUGACUGAUGCUGCAGCAUGUGCUGGCCAGCUUCAUUGCAUCUUUGCAUUUGAAGAGGCCACUGGGUUGACGUGCCAAGAUGGACCUAAUCAACCACCAGCGCUCAUGGAUUAUUUACUGAGACUAUUGCAGGAUCCUAUUGACAGGAUCCAUCAAGAUUGCAGCAUGUGGCUGAAGGUCUUUAAAGUGUAUCGUACUGCACAUCCAUCUUCAUUACCCACUCUUCUUCUAUGUCGCAAGCUUGCUAGUCUUGCUAGAAAGCAGACCAACUUUAUGUUAGCUGGCCGCUUAAACCAGUACCUCAUAAACCAUCCUUUGGAAUCAUCUGAUGAGACGGACAAGGGAAUGCUUACUUUGAACAUUAAGUAUGAAGGUGCCUUGCUGAAGCAUUGCGAAGGAGACAAUGAGGAGGCUUUAACUGAUCUGUGGUCACUGGUUCGUGCUAAUAUUCUUUCUUCAGUUAGUGAUUCAUCUGGUAUUGGCGAUUCACUUAUUGCUAAGGCGUGUCUGAAACUCUCGACCUGGAUGGAGGAGAGUUCAACUUCCACUCUGAAUAUGAUCGUUCCAAAGGUGGUAAAAGAUUUUAGUGAUUUUGAUGGCUUUCAAAAUGGGUCAGAGAAACUUUUGUCUGGUGACAGUGGGUUAGUUUGUACUGCAAACUGUCAUGUGCUUGCCCAAGAAAUCAUAGGCAGUGCUCGAAAGAUAUCCUGGCAACUUUGUCCCAGUAUGGGCAAGGCAUGGCUUUCUUAUGCAUCUUGGUGCUUUACUCAUGCCAAUCACUCUCUGUCUGGAUCCGAUUCAAAUGUGCAGAACAGUUUGUCCUCCAUUCUCCAAUCUGAACUUUCUCCAGACAGAUUUCACUUGACAGAUAAUGAGAAGUCUGAGGUGGAGCAAACAAUAAGAAGUUUCUAUGCUGAUAAAUCUGCAAAUUGUGUCGAUCACAAUUCCUUAGCGACAACAGGGUCUAGCAACAAUUCUGAGCAGGAGUAUCCCAUGACCAUGAUAAUUGAACAGGCAACUCAACUGUUAGAAACUGCAGCCGGAGCACCAGGUUUUGAGGCCAGUGAUGGUGAAGGUGCCUAUGCACUGCUAUCAUCAGGGCUUAACGUUCUCUUUGGUAAAUGCGAUUCUAUAAUGGACAGUGCUAUGCCUUUGAUUAAUAAUCUCACUGAAAUUUGGUGGUCUUUAAGGAAAAGGAGGGUAUCACUCUUUGGGCAUGCUGCAACUGCUUAUUUUCAGUACCUUUCUCAUUCAUCAAGUGAGCUUCAACCUUCAUAUCAGCGUGAUGCCUUAAAAGGGAAAACUAGGGGCUACACUUUGAGAGCAUUGUUGUAUCUCCUCCAUAUAAUUUUGAACUAUGGGGUGGAGCUGAAGGAAACACUUGAAAGUGGGCUUUCAACAGUUCCUUUGUUGCCAUGGCAGGAGAUUAUACCACAACUUUUUGCUCGCUUGAGUUCCCACCCAGAGAAGAUAGUAAGGAAACAGUUGGAGAGCAUAUUGGUGAAGCUAGGGAAACUUUCUCCUUAUUCUAUAGUAUAUCCUACAUUAGUUGAUAUCAAUGCCUGUGAAGGAGAACCUUCUGAGGAGCUUCAGCGAAUAUUGAACUUUCUGGUUAAGCUGUACCCCAAAUUAAUUAAGGAUGUUAAGCUUGUAAUUGAUGAGCUAGGAAUGAUAACCGUUCUGUGGGAGGAACAAUGGCUGAGUACCUUACAAGAUCUCCAUUCAGAUGUCUUAAGGAGAAUCAAUAUACUUAAGGAGGAAGCUGCAAGGGUUGCUGCAAAUUCUACACUGACUUCAUCUGAAAAGAACAAGAUCAAUGCUGCAAAAUAUUCUGCUAUUAUGACUCCAAUUGUUGUAGCAUUGGAACGUCGUUUAGCGUCCACAUCUCGUGAACCAAGAACACCCCAUGAGACGUGGUUCCAUAAGGAAUAUAACGCUCAGCUGAGAUCUGCAAUCACAAGCCUUAAGGUGCCCCCUGGAUCUCCAGCAGCAUUAGGAGAGAUUUGGCGGCCUUUUGAUUCAAUUGCAGCUUCUUUAGUCAGUCAUCAAAGAAAGUCAUGCGUAUUGUUAAGUGAAAUUGCUCCACAGCUAGCAACUUUGUCAACCUCUGACAUUCCAAUGCCUGGUUUUGAGAAGCAGAUACUUGAUUCCUCAGAAUCUUUUUUUGCUGGAAAUCAUGGCACGGUUACAGUCUCUUCUUUCUGCAAAGAAGUUACAAUACUUUCUACAAAGACAAGACCUAAGAAGCUCGCCUUGCAAGGAUCAGACGGACAGAAGUAUAUUUAUCUUCUCAAGGGACGGGAGGAUCUACGUCUUGAUUCUCGGAUCAUGCAGCUUCUGGAGGCGAUAAAUAGCUUCUUGCAUUCAUCUUCUGACACUCGAAGUCGAAAUAUUGCAAUUCGAUUUUAUUCUGUUACACCAAUUAGUGGACGAGCUGGGCUAAUCCAGUGGGUAGAAAAUGUAAGCAGCAUAUACAAUGUGUACAAGUCAUGGCAAAAACGUACUCAGGUGGCACAGGCACAGGCACAGCUUUCUUCAGUUAGCACUGGUAACAUUCACAACUCAGUACCUCAUGUUCCCCGUCCGAGUGAUAUGUUCUAUGGAAAAAUAAUACCAGCACUGAAAGAAAAAGGGAUCAAAAGGGUAAUCUCACGAAGAGAUUGGCCACUAGACGUUAAGAAAAAAGUUCUGUUGGAGCUUAUGAAGGAGACUCCAAAGCAGAUUUUGUGGCAAGAAAUGUGGUGUUCAAGUGAGGGCUUCAAAAACUUCAACUCCAAAGUAAAGAGAUUCUCUAGCAGUCUAGCGGCUAUGAGCAUGGUUGGCCAUAUCCUGGGCCUUGGAGAUAGGCAUUUAGACAAUAUCCUUAUGGACUUUAGCAAUGGUGAUGUGGUUCACAUAGAUUACAAUAUAUGCUUUGAUAAAGGGAAAAGGUUGAAGAUUCCAGAAAUCGUUCCAUUCCGUCUUACUCAAACUAUUGAAUCAGCCUUGGGAUUGUCUGGAGUUGAAGGUGUCUUUAGAGCUACCUGUGAGGCAGUUAUGGGUGCCCUCUUGAAGAACAAAGAUAUCAUCUUAAUGUUAAUGGAAGUAUUUGUUUGGGACCCAUUGAUUGAGUGGACACGCGGAAAUAUGCAAGAUGAAGCUGGAAUAGCUGGUGAAGAGAAGAAAGGAAUGGAAUUAGCAGUUAGUUUAAGCUUGUUCUCUUCUAGGAUUCAAGAAAGUCGUGUUCCGUUGCAGGAGCAUCAGGAUCUUUUCGUGACUAACUUGCCAGCUACAGUAUCUGUUCUAAAGACAUUCUUGGAUACUCUAGAUCAGUAUGAGGUUAAGUCUGCUAUAUUUUAUCAUGCUGAGAAAGAGAGGUCCAGUGCUUUACAUAAUGAAACGUCAGCAAAGUCAAUCCUUGCCGAGGCCACUUCAGGUGCUGAAAAAUCCCGCACUUCUUUUGAGCUUCAUGCUCAUGAAUUAGCAGAAGCGAAAACAUCGACAGUUGACGAAGCUAACACGCUUGCAAUAUGGGUGGAAAAACAUGGAAGGGUUCUUGAGGCCAUACGGGACAAUUCGAUUACAGGUUCGGAACUAUUAAUGAAACUAGACAGCAAGGAUGAGGCCUUGAGCCUUAUUUCAGCUGUCCUUGUAUCUGGGGUCCCCCUUACGGUUGUACCAGAGCCAACUAGAGAACAUUGCUAUGAGUUGGAUAGGGAGGUCUCUGAACUAAUUACUGAGUUGCAUGAUGGGCGGUCCUCUGCUUUACAGGCACUUGGUGAGUAUGCUUUAAUCUUGCAGCAAGUUCUUCCAGUUAACUACAUCACAACCAGUCCAAUUACUGGUUGGGCACAAGCUUUGCAGCUAUCUGUAACCAGUGCAUCACAAGACAUGCUUGCUCUUGCCAAAAGGCAGGCUGCAGAAGUCAUUGCUAAGGUUCAGGGCGAAGGUAGUAAUCUAGUACAGCAAAGAUACCGGGAUCUCUUAAAUCAAAUGGAAAGUUAUGUUGCAUGUGUGGAAAGAAUUAUGAGGGAAUGUUCUGAAUUGAUGAGUUCUGUUGGAUCGGAUAACGAAGCACAGUCUAAAGAUCGGAUACUUUCUGCAUUCAUAAACUCUGUUCAAUUGUCAUCACAAAAGAAUGAUGAGGAUACCGUUCCUUCUUCGCUGGCAGAUAAUUUGGAGGUCAAACCUCCAGCCCAGGAGGAUGUAAAAGAGAAAGCAAGUAAGGUUCUAUCUGUUCUUGGGAUCGCUGUGAGUCAGUUAUACAGUGGCAUUAGAGUCAGAGUGUCUGAACUCUCAACUAAAGCUGUUGGGAUAACUAAGUUUAGGACAGAUGAAGCUGGUCUUCAAGCUGAUGCUGGAAUGAGUCUGCAAUUGUUUGAUCAGCAGAUCGAAAAAUGUGCAUUACUUUCUGGAUUUGUGAAGGAAGUGCAUGAAGUGAUGGGGACAAAAUUAGGUGAAAUAAACGCUGAUUAUCUGAAGCAUCGGCCUGGACAAUGGGCUUAUACGUUUCAGGCCAUUUUGCACUCAAGUACCAACAUGAUUGAGCAAAUGACCGAAGUUUUUCUUCCAGAAAUUAUUAGAUCGUUUGUCUCGUACAAUUCGGAGGUAAUGGAAGCCUUUGGUUCAAUUUCUCGGAUACGUGGUUCUGUUGACACAGCUCUAGAGAAGUUGGCUGAGGUAGAACUUGAGAGAACAUCACUGACUGAACUGGAACAGAGCUACUUUGUGGAAGUUGGCCGAAUCACUGAGCAGCAAGUAGCUCUUGAAGAAGCUGCCAUGAGGGGUAGAGACCAUCUAUCCUGGGAAGAAGCAGAGGAACUAGCUUCACAGGAGGAAGCCUGUAGAGCACAGUUGGAACAACUUCAGAAAACUUGGAGCCAGAAAGAUAUGAGAAUUUCAUCAGUUUUGAAAGUAGAAGCCAGUGUCAUGAAUUCUUUACAUUCUUCUGAAAAGUACUUCUCAUCUUUGGUGAGUGCUGAUCAGGAAAAUGAAUUUCAUUUCAGAAGCAAGGCUCUGCUUUCAAUCUUGACAAAGCCCUUCGCUGACCUGGAAUCUCUUGAUCAUAUGCUAUCAUCUCGUGGCGCCUUCCCUUCCCACAUGAGCGGACCAGUUUCUAAUCUAAGAGAAGUUUUGGCUGCCAGUUCUUCAUUAUCUGAUGUUGUGUGGCCUUUAUCUGGCUUAUUGAAGGAUCAUGCUUUUUUUGUUUGGAAGCUCGGUUUGCUUGAUUCAAUUCUUGACUUGUGCAUGCAUGAGAUUUCAUCUUCUGUUGAGCACAGUUGUACUACCAACCAGCUUUACAUUACUCUCAAGAAGAAGCUUGCGAUCCAUGUGGAAAAUCAAGUUGGUCAAUAUAUUCUGAAAAGGAUUGCUCCUGCACUGAUCCUACAUUUAGACAAAGAAAUUUGUGAUUUGCUAGAAACGAGUCAAGGAAGAAGAGAAUCAGGUCAACCUACUGCGGCUGCAGGAAGGGUUGCAUUAAUGCUUGAGGAGUACUGUAAUGCUCAUGAGACAGCUAGAGCUGCCCGGACUGCAGUUUCUCUAAAGCAAAGGCAAUUAAAUGACCUCACUGAGGCUUUACGUAAAAUAAUUUUGGAAAUAGUUCAGGUUGAAUGGCUGCAUGAUUUUUCAUCGCCUCAUGCACAGAAGGCCAAGAUUUUCUCACAAAAUAUUCUUGGUGAUGAUAAGUUCAUGUCCGUGCUUUUAAAUCUGAGCAGAAGGAACUUGUUAGAUAAGAUCCAGUCUUCGAUGUCAUUGAUAACAAGAUCAAUUGAGUGUCUGCAAGCUUGUGAAAGCACUUGUGUUUCAGCUGAAGGCCAACUUGAGAGAGCAAUGGGAUGGGCCUGCGCCGGUCCAAAUACUUCUGGAGCAGGCAGUUCAACUGCAAAGGGUUCAGGAAUCCCCCCCGAGUUUCAUGAUCAUCUAUCGAAAAGGAGGAAAUUGCUUGGGGGCAUUCAAGAACAGGCAUCUGACCUUGUUAAGUCUUGCACAUCCGUUUUAGAGUUUGAAGCAUCUAGAGAUGGGCUUUACUUUGUUUCUGAGGAUAAAUCUUCUGGACAAUCUACUGAUAAGGGCAGGGCCUGGCAGCAAACUUUCGUGAAUCUACUGACACGUUUAGAUGCAGCAUACAAUUCCUUUACAUGUGCAGAACAAGACUGGAAACGUGGCCAGCUCAACAUGGAAACUGCUGGAAAAGGCUUGUAUUCAGCUACCAAUCAACUUUCUGUAGUCUCUGUCAAGGCAAAAUCUGCUUUAGUUGAUCUGCAGGAUACUCUGGUAGACAUGUAUGAACGUGCUUGCGAAGUCAGUGUAUCAUUAUCUGGAUUCAAACAUAUUUCACAGGAACGCACUGCCUUGACUGCUGAAUGUGGCUCCUUGCUCGAGGAGGUUUUGGCUAUAGCAGAGGGGUUGCAUGAUGUCUACACUUUGGGAAAGGAAGCUGCUGCAUUGCACAGUUCCCUUACGGCAAAUAUUUCCAAGGCAAAUACGAUCUUACUUCCACUUGAAGCUUUGUUGUCUGCUGAUGUGGCUGUUAUGUCUGAAGCGAUCUCAAAGGAAAGAGAGAAGAAUAACACCAGUAUGCCUCUUAGUCAUGGAAAGGCAUUAUACCAAUCUUACAUCACUAGAGUAAGGGAAGCUUGCAAAAACAUAGAGCCUGUGGUGCCCCUAUUAACUGAAUACGUGAAGGAGCUGCACUCCAUGGUGAUUAAGCUUGGACGCCUUUCAAGUCUUCAUGCAGGGAAUCUUCAUAAGGCUUUAGAAGUUCUUGAAGAAAGUGAAACUGGGAGAUCACAGGAUAUGCCCUCUGCACGUCCAGAUCUUCUGCAAAGUGAUUCGUCAGUUGAGAAGGAUAAAAGCUCUUCUGGGAGCAGGGAAGGUGUCUCUCAGGAUUUGAUUAUUGAUACUGAUGGUUCUCUACAAGAUGAAUGUUGGAUUUCUCCACCAGAGCACUCAUAUACUAGCAGUUCAGGAUGUACAACAUUGUUGACCCAGCUUACUCCUGAGAAUUUGGAGAAAAUAGAUGCCCUUUUGGACAGCGGGCCUGGAAUAGAGGGUCCUGCUGCUAAUAGUCAGCAAUCAAGAGAUGGUAGAACUGAUUCAGAAUCAGACUCAAGUAGCAAUAAGCAGGUGUUUUCAAACAAUGUCACACAAGCUAGCAAUAUUCAUGUGGCUGGAACUUCUUUUGCGGAGGAGGGAAGAAUUGAAACUGAGGAUAACACUGGAACCUUCAAACAGGUUAGAGGACAAGAAUGUGACAGCAGUGACAAUAAAUCCUAUUCAGAUACUCGAAUGACCAGAGGUAAAAAUCCUUUUGCUCUGUCUAUCCUGAAGCAAGUGGAACAUAAGUUACAUGGACGAGAUAUAGAUGGUACCAGGUCCUUGAAAAUUUCAGAGCAAGUAGACUAUCUUCUUAAGCAGGCAACAAGCAUCGACAAUUUGUGUAAUAUGUACGAGGGUUGGACACCUUGGAUAUGA